GCAUUUGCCAAUGUCUUUUGAUCUCUUUAUUUUAAGCAUGUAUGCAUGUGUAAAUCGGAAAACAUUUCAUAUGCUUUCUCACAGCUCUGAAUUAGUAAAUCAUACAUGACAUACAUUAUAUUUUAUAUUUAUAUUUCUUGGCUGUCUUACUGUGUGUGCGUUUCCUCGCAUGUUCAUUUGGUGGCGCUGUGGCUCCUGUUUGGCCGCAUUGAUUGAAAGACUGGAAAUGGAGAGAAACGCAGAACUUAAUCCAUUGGCAUCAGAUCCUGGCAAGAAACUCAGUGGAAAACGAAAAACACUCCAUGAUAUAUGUAGCAGGUAAAAUUCUUAAAGGACAUUCAGAAGCAAUAUACUGUUUAACAUUCCUGCCAGCCCACCAAAAAUAAGGAAGAUUCCAGGACACUUUAAAUGGGAAAUGGAUUGGAGCGAGAGAGAGAGAGAGAGAGGAAAGACAGGAUAGAGAGAGACAACUGGACCUGCUGUAUCUGAUGAGUUGAUCUGUCAUGAAGCAUUGGGCUUGGCUGGAGAAGUGGAGUUUCACUGGACCUCUGUGGCUCCAUCUGCUGAAAUAUUCAUCUUUAGUAGUAAUUGAGAGGCAGAAAGGGAGAACAAAACAAGAGGAAGAAAUCUGAAGUACUGAAUCCUCUUGCAGCAAUUCGGUUUCUCACAAGAAUGCCACAGUAUUUUUAUUUAUUUAUUUAUUUAUAUAGUAUAGGACACGCAUCAUUAGACAACUGCCUGCUUGUUCCCUGUACAAAAUCCAACAUUUAAUUUGUCACACAUGGCUAUUUUAAAGGUUGAUUGAACCAUCUAAUGUAGAAAAAUUUGAGAUUCCAAACGAUUCAUAAUUUUACAUAGUGACAA
Long non-coding RNA from Carassius gibelio (silver crucian carp), 864 nucleotides. RefSeq lists it as uncharacterized. Lineage: Eukaryota; Metazoa; Chordata; Actinopteri; Cypriniformes; Cyprinidae. The record is from RefSeq and is a predicted model, not a curated record. The transcript has 4 exons.